GCGGCAGACGGGUGAGUAUCCAUGGGUAAGGGAAAAUCAAGUGGGGAAUAACUAGCCGAAAGGUUAGCUAAUACCGCGUACGCUUCCUAGACUGCGGUUUGGGAAGGAAAGCGAUACCGUGGGUAUCGCGCUCUUGGAUGGGCUCAUGCCCUAUCAGCUUGUUGGUGAGGUAACGGCUCACCAAGGCUUCCACGGGUAGCUGAUCUGAGAGGAUGAUCAGCCUCUCUGGCACUGCGACACGGCCCAGACUCCUACGGGAGGCA
RNAcentral lists this ribosomal RNA (263 nucleotides) under uncultured bacterium. RNAcentral describes it as "partial 16S ribosomal RNA". It matches the Rfam family "Bacterial small subunit ribosomal RNA", at positions 95 to 350 of the family's 1533-position model. The record is from RNAcentral.